UACGAAGGGGACUAGCGUUGUUCGGAAUCACUGGGCGUAAAGCGCACGUAGGCGGAUUUGUAAGUCAGGGGUGAAAUCCCGGGGCUCAACCUCGGAACUGCCUUUGAUACUGCGAAUCUUGAGUCCGAUAGAGGUGGGUGGAAUUCCUAGUGUAGAGGCGAAAUUCGUAGAUAUUAGGAAGAACACCAGUGGCGAAGGCGGCCCACUGGAUCGGUACUGACGCUGAGGUGCGAAAGCGUGGGGAGCAAACAGG
This 253-nucleotide ribosomal RNA is filed under the name uncultured bacterium. Its description in RNAcentral is "partial 16S ribosomal RNA". It matches the Rfam family "Bacterial small subunit ribosomal RNA", at positions 524 to 776 of the family's 1533-position model. The record is from RNAcentral.